GUCCCAAUCAUAUUUGGUUUGUACAAGCAAAGGAAAAGGGUUACAGUGCAACAUUCUGUCCUGAUACCACGUGAGGAUGGAGACAAGAGUUGGAGACAGAGAGAGAAGGUGUCCAGAGUGUCCAGAGCGGAUUCGAGUGAUUCUGACAGGGUGUGACACACGUUGUUUUCUCUGGUGGAACCAAGCCAAGCAAAGAGGCAUUCACAGACAGAUCCUGUGGGUACCUUCAGCCAUCGAGGAGUUUGGCAAUCCCAAGAGCCUUGAGCACAUCUCUUCUUGGAA
RNAcentral lists this long non-coding RNA (282 nucleotides) under Gallus gallus (chicken). RNAcentral describes it as "long non-coding RNA NONGGAT001246". The record is from RNAcentral. Lineage: Eukaryota; Metazoa; Chordata; Aves; Galliformes; Phasianidae.